Molecule: non-coding RNA, 979 nt
Organism: Monodelphis domestica (gray short-tailed opossum)
Lineage: Eukaryota; Metazoa; Chordata; Mammalia; Didelphimorphia; Didelphidae
Source: RefSeq, a predicted model, not a curated record
CCCAGGUAGGCUGAAUCUGCUUGGAAGAAGCACAUCUGGCAUAAGCCAAGAGCCAGGACCCUGUGUGGUCAUUUCCGUGCCUGGCCCCAUGGGAAGGCAGCACUAGCAGUUGAGAUGCCCUCAUCCACAGCAUUCCGUGCUUGUCACAGGAACCAACUCCAAAGGCUGAAACAGACAAUGGCUCACUAUGGGACCAAACAAGAGUCUUCAAAACUCAAUCUAUGAAGAAGCCCUAAUCAAAUCAAAGAAAUCAGACAGUAAACAAUACUGGAAAGUGAUCUAACUCAUGUUCUAUAAACUAACAGACUAAAGAACCCCGCUGACAGGGCUGAUAUACUACCAAAAGAGUUCUAUCUUCCUACACAAUCCUUCUCCUCAGGGCAAAUCACCAAAGUUCUGAGAGACUCACAGCAUGGCAGAGAAGCCUAUGCCAGUAACGGCAACCCUAAGAUUCAUGUUAAUAAACCCUGGCUGUGAAGAUUAAAACAGUUCCUUAGACCUCCAUUGAAUCAAUUGCCUUUUUAGACACCGAGAAUAAGCUGGCGCAUGUGAAGAGACUGCCUAUGAUUUCAAACCACUAUCACUGAUUACUCAUCAUACUUAAGCAGCAAGUCAAGAGUGACCAGAAGGGGAUAGGAAUGAUUACUUGCCUCCUCAUUCCUCAAGCACUAAAGUCAAACAAGACUAAAGAUGCCAUUGGAACAAAAGUCAAACAAUCUCAUCUACCCAAACAUGAAGUUAGCAAAGUUUAAAGUAUACUCUGUGUCUGGAAACAACAUGAUCUCUUCAUUGCACUGUACCAGUGAUCUGAGAACCAGGGGAAGUCAACUAGAGAUCAUAGGCUUGAAAUGGGAAAGAGAAACUAGUCAAGAGGAACCUUUGUUGUCAGCAAAGGAAGCAUAGCACUUUAGUACCAUCUAAGAGCUUUAUAACCUCCACAGGGAAAAGGACUGUGAUGUUUGGCUAGGGAAAAGGAAAA